This is a long non-coding RNA of Balaenoptera ricei (Rice's whale), 3432 nucleotides long. RefSeq lists it as uncharacterized. The transcript is spliced from 4 exons. NCBI's taxonomy places the organism in Eukaryota, Metazoa, Chordata, Mammalia, Artiodactyla, Balaenopteridae. The record is from RefSeq and is a predicted model, not a curated record.
CGGCGCCGUGCGCAGCGCUCGUGGGAGCAGCGCCGGAGUCGCGCAAGAGCUGAGCCGGAGCCCGGCCGCCAGCCGCCGCCUCCCUCGGCCGGAGCCGAGUGGGCGCGGAGGCCAUGCGGUGCACGGCAGUUUCCCCCGACCGCCCAGGAGCCACGCACGGCGAGAGGACAGGGCGGGCGGCCAGCCCUACCCAGUCGGUCCGCUUUGCUGGGGAAGCGCCACCUCCGUUCCCCACAGUGGCCUAGGGCUGAACGCGGCUUGUCCCGGGCUCAGCCUCACAUCUGAGGGACAACUGGAGCGCCGGGCAAACGCUGACUGCACGGCCCCGCUGUCUCCGGCCUCAAACUUUUGUCUCAACUUCGGGGAGGGACCUGUGCCUCGCCGCCCGGCCUGGCCACGCCCCGCGCUCCCCGCGUUUGCGGGGGAGGAACCCGCGCCCGGCACAGCUGGAGCCCGCCUGUCCCCGGCCUCACCUCGCCGACCCCCGCACGGUCAGCGCCCACGGCUCGGCCACGCGCAGCCCUUUGGCUGGGUCCCGGGACGCUGGGAGUAGGCGACCGGCGGAAGGCGGCGCCGCGGCCCGGCAGGAGAGGUGGAGGCCGUUGGCGAGGCGCGGAGCCCCAGGCCCGGCCACGAGCGGCGCGUCGCGAGCGCAGCGUCCCGGGCGCGCGAGGGUGAACGCGCAGCGCAGGCCGAGGCGCGGGCCCCACGCGAUUUCGCCUCGGCGCCCAAGGUCGGAGCGGCCCCCGGGUAGGGCUCCGGGCAGACCCUCGGCUGUCCCUGGACGCUGCGACCUUCCGCCCCAGAACUGGCCCCGCUGCCGGCUCCGGGCAAGCAGCGCCCGCUUCGCGCGCCCCGCCCCAUCCCACCCGGGUUUCGAGGCUCAGACCCCGCCGGGUGCCCCACGCUCCGUGCCGGGGCGUCUCUCCAGCCGCUCCAGUUCUCCCCGAGAGAGUUAUUUUUAGCCUCCCGACCAAGCAGCUCUGCAGCGCAGCCACCGAGCCUGAGGCAGCCAGGCGAGCGGUCCCGGGGAGGGCGGGCGACCGGCGCGGGGGGAUGCGGUCCAGAGGAGGGAGCCUUGUCAAGAACCUCAAAAGUUGGAUCCUUUUCGCAGAGGACAACAUCGAGGCUCGCCUGGGCCAGAGAAGCUGCUCCGCAGCGGGCGAUUCAGGCCCACGCCCCUCACGCACCUGAGAGGAGCUUGGCGGUGUAAACAGGCCUAGGGGUCCCCAUCCGCAUUGGGCAGCCAAGCAUCGGGGGCGUGUCCUCCGCCGCCCCCACUGGCUCAGCGGGAAGAUGCAAACGGACCCGGGACUCGUGUAUCGGUGCUUGUGUGAUAAACGUAUCACCAGCAAGUGAGUGUCUGACCUGAACUUGUCCGCGACCAACUCGAGUAAACUCCCUGGGGAGUUGUUUGCGGCGACCCAGAGGAGGAAGUUACCAAAGCGGACUUGGCGACCUGACCAGGGUCUCCUGUCUGUGAUGACAUUGGCCCCACCUGGCUAAACUAGGAUACUUUCCUCAUUCAAGAGCCUUAACUUAAUAGCAUCUGCAAAAUCCCUUUUGCCAUAUAAGAGCUGCAGUCGGUGCGGUUCUGUACACAGAAGUCCUCGAGAGAAAUGCUUGUGGGCUGCUCUCCCAACUGCAUCCCUCUGGCGGAUCCAGGGGAGGGAGCCCCAUCUGGGUGCCACGUGGCUGCUGCAGUGAUGCAGAGCCCAGGAAGGACACAGUCCAACACCCCACCUCCUCCUGGCUCCACGCAGCAGGCUGAUGGGUCCCGGGAGGGAGGGACAGACUGACGGCUCUGGUGCAGAGUUAGAAGGACACAUCCAUCUUCCUGACUCGGCGUGACCUAGAAAAAUCCAUAGCAUCAGAACUUGGUAUUUGCAAACAAGCACAAGGAUCCUAUCAUUUUAAGCUGAGGUUCCAGUUGCCAUGUGACAAGUAUCUGUGACCACUUGGUUCUCAGGCUGAGAACUUUGAGCACUUAAGGAGGGAAGACAGUCUAACUGCAAAAUAUGAUUAGCGUGGAAUCGGAUCUGCCGCCUUCAUCUCUUGGCAGGGGAAAUGUCCAGCAGGUUUGGAGCCUCAAGGAUCAGCCUGUUUUUAUAGAGAAACAUUAAAAAAACAAAACAAAAAAAACCUCUGGAACUGAGCAAGAGAAGUCUCACUUCAAACUGCAAAAAAACACAUUCUUUGCAAAAUGAGCAGAAGCGUCUUUCUACUCAGUCCAGACCCUGUAUUGGUCAGGGUUCUCCAGAGGAGAAACAGAACCAACAUGAUAUCUAUCUAUUUAGAAAGCAAAUGUUGAAGAGCUAAAAGGAAAAAUAAAAAACUCCACAAUCAGAGAACAAGCAGAUGAAAAAUAAUUAAGGUAAUAGAGAAUUUGACUACAACUAACAAACGAUCUAACCAACAGAUGUAAAACACACGCCCCCAAACUGUAGAACACAUGUUCUUUUCAGGUGCAUAUAGGGUAUUUACCUACAUAGAUCACAUGCCGGGCCACCAAGUGUGUCUCAACACAUAGCAGAGGAUUGAACUCACUUAGGGUGUGUUCUCUCACAAAGUGGAAUUAAGUUCGAAAUCAAUAAUAGGUCUCUAGAAAUUUCCCAAAGUUUAGAAAUCAUGCAGCACACUUCUAACCAUUCACAGGACAAAGAAGAAAUCACAGUGAAAAUUACAAAGAUUCUCAGACAUAGAAAACCAUGUCGGGACUUCCCUGGUGGUCCCGUGGUUAAGACUCUGCGCUUCCACCACAGGGGCACGGGUUUAAUCCCUGGUGGGGGAACUAAGAUGCCGCAUGGCGCGGCCAAAAAAACAAAACAAAACAAAGCCAUGUCAUUUUCAGCAAAUGGCAAACAGCUCAGAAAGCCACAGACCUAGGGUGUGGCCUGGAGAAAGCAGGGAGAUGGAGAGGGAGACUCAGGCCACAUCAGGCUAAGGAGUUUGGGCUUAUAAACAGUGGAAAGCCCUGGAGGCUUUUAACCAGGGGACCUGCUGUGUGGAUGUAGAGGGUGGACUAGACAUACUGGAGGGAAAGACGGACGGAACGUGAAAGAAUGAGGCCAGUUGGGAGGCCCCUGCCUGAGAUACGAGAUCAAUAGCUGUUCUGCGGGGCUUCCCUGGUGGCGCAGUGGUUAAGAAUCCGCAUGCCAAUGCACGGGGCACGGGUUCGAGCCCUGGUCCGGGAAGAUCCCACAUGCCAUGGAGCAACUAAGCCCGUGCACCACAACUACUGAGCCUACGCUCUAGAGCCCGUGAGCCACAACUACUGAGCCCAUGGGCCACAACUACUGAGCCCGUGCGCCUAGAGCCCGUGCUCCACAACAAGAGAAGCCACCGCAGUGAGGAGCCCACGCACCGCAACGAAGAGUAGCCCCCGCUCACAGCAACCAGAGAAAGCCCAUGUUCAGCAAUGAAGACCCAACA